GGACACACACGGGCUGCAGGAGCUGGGCCGAGCACAGAACACUCAGCAGCGUGUGCAGAUCACGAUUUGCCCAGCACAUUCCUGCCUGUUGCCAAAAGCAAGCGUUGGGAAGCCCUCAGGAUUUCCAAAGGAAUAACUUCACAGCCAAAUAAUGAGCAUUGCUAUGCUUUGCACAGUAUUUUCAGUAGAACAGCAUAAGUGGGAAUUUAAGCAGCUAAAGGACAGACAUUGGGAUGGUUCUGCAUCACCUGGAGGAGAACUGCUCAAGGAGGGCUUCUGGGUGUGAGCUGAGCCUGAAGAUUACACAAUUUCAAAGGUGCUUAAUCAUGUUCAGUGGGAAGCGUGUGCACUUCCUGGGUGCACACACAACACACAGCUGAUUCUGCAACAGAUGCAGAGCAGAAACAAAACAGCCUCCUCUUUAUCACAGCAGUUCUUGGUAAACCAAAUGCUCACCUCAGUCUCAGGGAGAGCUGAAAGACCACAGGCACAGGAACUCCUGCAGUGCAGGUGCACUGACCUCAGCCAUCACCCCGCGCAGCUCCUCCUGCACCAGGAGCUCCAGCGGGCUGGCUUUGCCUCACUGGAACCUUCCUGCACAGCAGGGGAGUAAUCCAGAUCUCUACAACUGAUAAUCUCUUGACUGCUAUAAUACAGAUCAAAGAGUAGCGUUCUAACAGACACAGUACUUGAAUUUGGAUCUGCAGAAGCACAAAAGACAGAGGUUUGUGAACACACAGAAGAGAUGUUUAUCCAAGACUGCCCCCCUCUGUUGUUGCUUCACAGCUAAAAAAAGAAAAAUGUUUUAAACUGCUAUGAAUUCUUCUCACACUUGAUAAAAUGAGAUUUGCAGUAUACUGAUUUUUAGUAUCAGUAUUUAAUGGAAAAAUAAAAUCAAAUAAAAUAAAACAUAAAUAAAAACUUAAAUACUCCUGGAAUAUAAACAUGCAAAUCAUACUGAAUUUCUUCAGAGAGUGUUUGAGUAGGGGUGAUUUUAUUGAGCUGUUUGCAGCAAAAAAAAAUUAAUAUUUCUCUUAGUUUUUCUCUGUUCAUAUUUUUCUAUAAAAUCACUCUAAAAUACAGGCUGCGAUUUUAAAAAAAAAAAAAUUACAAAUUUUUUUUUGCCUUUUUUUUGGCAAAGACAAAUCUCAGAACUAUUUCUCUUUCAUAAAGUUUCUGCUAAGGUCAAUUCAGUAUUUUAUUAAUGGAAAGAUAACUUUGUAUGUUUAACAUAUGCUUAAAUAAAUAUUGGAAAACUAAGUCUAUUCCUGAAAAAUUCCAACUGUAAUGCUUAAAAAUGAGAAGGGGAACAAAGUACCCACAUCUGAUUCUCAUAAUCCACUGCACACCCCUUAAAACAAAAGCAGCAAAGAGAACAAGGCUGUUGAAAACUGUACAAAUGAAACAAUUUAAUGAAUAAAAAUUUGAGAAAUAUAAAAUACUAUUUUAAAGGAGAGUUUGGCUUGUGUGUUUAUUUAGUGGCAUUAAAAAUGCUAUGU
Long non-coding RNA from Passer domesticus (house sparrow), 1499 nucleotides. RefSeq lists it as uncharacterized. The transcript has 3 exons. Lineage: Eukaryota; Metazoa; Chordata; Aves; Passeriformes; Passeridae. The record is from RefSeq and is a predicted model, not a curated record.